UAUGACAUUAAAAUAAUAUAAUUUUAGAAGGCAACUGUACUCAUAUGCAGAUAAGAAAAAGUUGAUACGAACGAGCUUGAAAUGCCCAUUGGUAAGGUAUCGUAACCGAAAGAUAAGAGUGCGUAUGUAAACAUUUCUGGUUUUCAAAGAGGAGGGUCGAGAAAACGUACGAUCAGUGCCAGACUUCUCGCUUGAAGCAUAUAAGACGCGCGCGACCACAGCUCGUCGGCCAACCCCAAUGGGUUAAUAAAUUUACGUUUGUUUGUUCGGGACGCCACGAAGAGACCCUUUCGGUUAUCACCUAUUUAAUCCUAUCUAUUUUGAGAACGGUAAACGACACCACUACUGCUAACCUAAAUCCAUUCUUAAAAUCUAACUCAUGGCCAUUAUUUAUCGUCCCGAUAAAUUAGUACAAGUUUUUCAAAAAAACAAAAACAAAAAAAAAAGAAAAAAAAAAGAAAAAAGAAAAAGAAAACAGGACAAAAUUUUCCACAAAUAUUCGAUAUGGAAUCGUUAUAAGAGAAUUACUUCUUAGAAAAGGAAUCGGUAAAGAUUUACGAUUAGAGUUCGAAAAAACUAAGUGUAGUCUCAAGCACGCUUUCAUGGCAUGGCGUCUACCUUUACUUACACGACGCUCGAAUUACGUGUACUCCAGAAAUAACGCGAGACUUCUUUGUCGAGACACGUAACCCGACUACCACUCGAGAACAAUGCCGGUAAGUCCAAAGGCGCCUCCUUAAGCCUUUCGCAUGUUAUACGUCCGAGCACGCAUAUCCACACACACACACACACACACACAUACAUACAUACAUACAUACAUACAUACAUACAUACAUACAUACAUGCAUGUAUACGCAUAACGUUCCUACGUUACAACGUCCACGCAAGGAUCGUCUUAUCGAGUAUGAUUGUGUGAGCGAGCAAACGUGACCGUGAGUACUUACUCGUAGAAAACUUUGCCGUUCUUCUCGAGACCAAGCAAAUGCACACAAGGCACGCAUACAAAGAGAACGAUAGAUGUACAAAUAUAGGCGUUACGUAGACUCUAAAAAGACAGACUUCUCCAUUCCUUUUCUCCGUUUCUUUUCUCCUAUGGUUUCUCUCACCUUGGUUCACGUUCCUUUUUAUAGUAAGAUUUCUAUAUUUCUUUUUUUUUUCUUAUUCCUUUCUUUUAUACUUGCAGAGCAUUGCUCUAAUCUUUCAAUAAACAUUUCCUCUUCAUUCGUCCAUCUAUAUCAGUCUAUCUAUCUGUCUAUCUGUCUAUUUGUCUGUCUGUCUGUCUGUCUGUCUGUCUGUCUGUCUGUCUGUCUGUUUCUCUGUUUAUCUCUUUCAUCUUUUACAACAGGCAAUAAAAUUCGCGAUCUUUUACUUUGCCAAACAGAGCGCGAGCGUUUUCGAAGAAGUCGAUAAAACGAUUUUUUCUUUUUUGUUAAAGUAAGUCGAGAGGUACGGCGCUUCAAGAUUCCCGGGCGAAUGUUCGUAUUCUUCUCUCUUUUCGAGAUCGGCCGCGUUUUAUCGCUUUACCGCUUUUUAACUUUCACGGAAAACGAAAUCUUCUUCUCGAGGAGUAAAUCGUCCGUGUAAUCAUCGCGUCGUCGAGGAUCGAGUCGAAGUGAUCGUCGAUAACGCGGCCAUUUCUUAUCUACUUUCAUCUCCUUUCUUUCUAUAAUUUUUUUUUCCUUCGUUCCUUUGUAUGCGCAAGUAAGUUCUCAAACGACCCGCCUACUAUUCCUCACAGCGAACGUAGAUAUUUAUUUGUCAAAUUGCAAAUCAUCGAUUAUCGGGUUAACGAUGAUACUCUUCUUCUAACAAUUAUAAUUUCAAUUCCACUAUCGUUCGAUUUUAAUUGCAUCAUAAUUUUAAUUUUAAUAUACUCGAAAGAGAAUUACCUAUUCCGUCUACUUUUUCGAAUAAAUCUUGUGUAAUCCGAUUUGUCAAAGUUACAUACGAACGGGUAUAACAUGCUUUCGUACAGUAAUUAAACAAUUCAUAUCGUUUGACCAUAUUAUAUCGAAAUAAAUUUUAACGAACUAUAUAAUAACCAUUUAAGAUUGGAAAUUAAAAACCAUUAUCACUUUUUUUUAUAAUUCAAAUAAGCUUCCGUCGAAUGCUCUUGAUCCAUGACGUAAAUUGAAUUAAUAAUAUAUUUCAUGUAAUUUAGUUUGUUAAAAUCCCGACGACGGACGAUAUCAUCGACUAAAGUCGAAAAAGAAUUCGAUUUAUUUUUUUUCAAACGAUAAAGCACGAAUGUCCGAGAGGAAGUCACGAGAGCUCGUAAUUCCCUUUUCUCGAAUUUCGAAGGAACGAGUUUACUCACGCGAUCCAAUACUAGGGAGGAAAUCUCUAAAAGGACGACGAUGUUGCGGUUCGUUUUCUCGAGGCGAGUGCGGUACAUAGAUUGGCAUAAAAACAGUAGAAGGUGAGCAAAGGUUUAUUCGAGCGCACAUUAUCUGCAAUAUCGUAUGUACGUGUGAAACUACCACGAUCACAGGACCGAAUUAGAGAAGGAGCUUAUUACCAGAACGGCAGCUGUGCACGGCUAAUCCUAUGUUGCUUGCUUUCCAUGGCCGUAGAUACACCGGAGGUCGACCGACGAACUUCUCUCUCUCUCUCUCUCUCUCUCUCUCUCUCUCUCUCUCUCUCUCUCUUUCUCCCCCACUCCCUCCGGUAGAAGGGUUGGUUAUUGUCUCUAAUUUAAAGCAACGAUUUCCUGUCACGCUGCCUACGAGCUGUAAGCACUGCGCUACGCUUCUGCCCGUCCAUUCAUUCGUUUCCUCCUCCUCGUGUUCUCGUUUCUCUUUAUCUCCCUCCCUCUCUCGAGGUUCUUGAGAACAGAGUUACAUACAUUACGUAGAUAAGUCAGGCAUCAGUGUGGAGAGACGUGUGGGCUUCCACGACGGUGGCCACCGACGUUGUUGUCGCCGUCGUUGCCAUCGUCGCUGUCGCCGUCGUCACCGUCAUCGUCGUCGUCGUCGUCUUAGUCUUCGUCGUCGUCGUCGCCUUAGUCUUCGUCGUCGCCUUAGUCUUCGUCGUCGUUCUAGUCGUCGAGGUUUUUCCUCCUUUACUUCUUCUUGCAUUGAAUGCAUAAACGAAGUAGGCAAAAGAAAACGUGUCACGAAUUAAGUAAGAAAAGAGUAAAAAGUUUAUCGCAUAGUUUGGCUUCAUCGACUCAUAAGAACUUAGAAAAGAGGUCUACGCUUAUUUUCGUCUUAAAAAAAAAAAAAGCUAAGAUAGAGAGUUUUAAACAAUAUCUUAUUAUCAGACUAAUCGAAUUGUUGGUUGUCGAUAAAAUUAUUAGAUAUGUACGAAGGCUUACCUAAAUAUAGCAUGAAAAACCAAUUAAAGAAACCAAGAAAAUUACAAUGUUAUUCCUUGAUUAAAAAUUAGAAUCAAUAUUUUCUCGAUUCGUUAAACGACAAAGAUUUUUCUUUGAAACCUAUAAUUUCUAUCUUUUAUUUAAUUCCAAUUUCAACAAUUAUUUCAAUAUAAUCUAAGACGCACGUACAAUUCGAUAAAAAAGGAAAGGGACGAAUGAUUCAUUGCUUUUUAAAAGAUAAAAUCUCAUGCGUCUCGAGAAACGAUAGGCACGAAUUUUCGUACGCGAAUGCAAUGAACAUUAGGAAGUCGCACGGAGCGUGCGGAACGAACAAUUACAAUUCGCACCGCGUAGGAAACCUCAAUGUCGACCCACGCGCCUUGUCGUCACGUACGAUGCAAACGACAGGACGAAGAAAAGGAGAAGGAGAAGAAAGAGGUGGAGGUUGAGGUGGAGGAGGAGAAGGAGAAGGUGGAGGAGGAACAGUGCGGCAAACGACUGGCAAAUUGCCAAUUGCCUACAAAACGGACGUCGAUGACGAGAAACCAAACGGAACUCGACGACGAUCGAUGAUCCUACUAUACUACAAUCUUCUUUGAAAAAUAUUAUUUCUUCUUCGUGAAGUGAAAGGAAAGAAGUAAAAUGGAGAAUAGAUGAGUAUAAACAAAAGUCCAUAGAAGAUUCCCAAACAAGAAUGCUACUACCUAACCGCUUUGAAGAUGCAGAAAGAGAGAGGGAAAGGAAUGGAUGGUAUUGCUCAAACAUAGUAAGUAACAGAGGAUUUAUAAAAAUAAAAAUAAAUAUUUUCUUUUGCAGAAAUUAUAGAAAGAAAAUUUUAAAAAGGAAUAUAUACUUUUUGAUAUUUCUUCUACUGCGCCGACAUAUUUCUGAAAAAUCAUCUAAUCCAGGUGAUAAGAGAAUAUGAAGAAAAUAUAUCAUAAAAGAAAUAACAUGAAAAAAUCGGAAAUAACCGAACUCAUAUGGGAAAAUAAUUUUUAUGAAAUGCAAUCGAUAAAUUUGAUUCUGUAUGUAGAUACACACAAUCGCUCACAUAAAUGAUUUAUGUGUACCUUUCGUAUAACUCGAGCUUUCUACAGUGUAUGCACCGUUUGUCUCUAAUGAUUCCGACAUUGAUAUCGAAAGCCGAUCCGCUUAAGUGCGUUUGAACUGGAUCACGAGUUCGUGUGUAACCAUAUGGUAUUUUAUAUAACUUGUACAAAAGAAUAUUAAAGAUUAUAUAGAAACAAA
Vespa crabro (European hornet) is the source of this 4564-nucleotide long non-coding RNA. RefSeq lists it as uncharacterized. The transcript has 3 exons. The record is from RefSeq and is a predicted model, not a curated record. Lineage: Eukaryota; Metazoa; Arthropoda; Insecta; Hymenoptera; Vespidae.